AUGCUCGCCAGAAAAAGAAUUCAUCCCUACAACAAUUAGCAACACAAGUUUAUUCCCGUUUCUAUGCAAAGAAAAAGAAACUCAUCCCAACAACAAUUAGCAACACACCUAUUUUCCCGCUUGCCCUCUCAACAAAACAACCAUGAGAAAAAUGCAAUGCAUGAAAUGAUCUUUUUCUGACGAGCAUUAGAAUUUCUGAAUGGUGGUAACGUACCGGCGGGGGCGAUGAAUUAUUCAUGAGAGGAGUUAUUUCAGAGAACAUUUAUGCGUUGGGAUUUUUUCUUUGCGAACGUUAGAAUUUGUUUCUGGUGCUGAUGUAUCGGCGGGGCGAGGAGUUAUUUCAGAGAGCAUGCAUGCGUUGUUUUUUUCUUUGCGAACGUUAGAAUUUGUUUCUGGUGCUGAUGUAUCGGCGGGACGAGGAGUUAUUUCAGAGAGGAAGCAAGGAGUUACUGCGUUGUUGUUUUUAAUUCGUAUGUAUUUCUUGUUGUUUGUUGAAAUCUUACGGUGUUUGAUUUGAUGAUGUUGUAUUUUGGUAAAUGCAUUCAGUGUGCUUUAGACUUUCGUCGCGUUAAGUGUGCUAAAAAAGUGAAUAGUGAUUUUUAAAAAGUGAAUAGUGAUUUUUAAAUAGUGAAAAAAAGUUCCUGUGAAUGCGUAAAAAUGGAAAAUAAUUGAUGAAGAACAGAAAAAAGCCUUCGUAUACAAAGAAAAAUUAUAAGGCAAAGGUCAGAUAUAUUUAACCUACCACAUAUCAAGUUUCAAAACCAUUUUCGCAUCAAUAAAGCAGCAUUUAAAUACUUGCUUGAUACUAUUGAGCCGAAAAUGAAGAAAAGUAUUCGGUAAACUUCUGUGUCCACCACAAUAAAGUUGGCUACAACUUUACGCUUUUUGGCACCGAGGAUGAGAAAGCCGAAGCAAAACUAGCUUUUUUUGAAAAAACAGGGUUUCCAGGCGUCAUUGGAUGCAUAGAUGGGACCCACAUUAAGAUAAUUACACCGAAGAAGGAGAAGCAAAGCAUUUAUUAUAACCGUAAAGGAUUUGUUAGUUUGAAUGCUAUGAUUGUAUUUGGAUGCUCGACAUGCUGGCUCAGCACAUGACUCCUUGAUUUGGAAUAUGAGCCACGCCAAACAAAUUUUGCGCGAACGUUAUGAUGGUGGUGACCGUAAUAGUUGGAUUUUAGGUGAUGCAGGCUAUCCGCUAGAGCCAUACCUGACGACGCCAUAUCGUUCUUCUCAAGAAGGGAGUGCUGAGGCUGUUUUUAACAAUAAACAUGCCAAAGCAAGAAAUAUUAUUGAAAGAACCAUUGGUGUUUUAAAAAAUCGCUUUCGGUGUUUACUCGGCGCUCGUCAACUUCAUUAUAAGCGUGAAAAGGCAACUAAAAUUGCAAAUGUUUGCUCGGCAUAACACAACAUUUCUAUUGCAUAUGGUGUAAAUGAUCUAAGCGAAGAUGUACCUGUACAACUCAGCAAUGAAAAUGUUGAGAAUGAAGACGAAAAUAUACAAAGUAUUGAAGCUUCACAAAUACGAGACCAAACAAAAUCCACUUUUGUUUAAGUUUGUUGAUUUUAAUAAAAAAAAAAUCAUUGUUUAUGUAUUAAAACUUAAAAAAAAGUU
Long non-coding RNA from Musca domestica (house fly), 1611 nucleotides. RefSeq lists it as uncharacterized. The record is from RefSeq and is a predicted model, not a curated record. Lineage: Eukaryota; Metazoa; Arthropoda; Insecta; Diptera; Muscidae. The transcript has 5 exons.